This 436-nucleotide ribosomal RNA is filed under the name uncultured Clostridium sp. Its description in RNAcentral is "partial 16S ribosomal RNA". It matches the Rfam family "Bacterial small subunit ribosomal RNA", at positions 341 to 792 of the family's 1533-position model. Lineage: Bacteria; Bacillati; Bacillota; Clostridia; Eubacteriales; Clostridiaceae. The record is from RNAcentral.
ACGGGAGGCAGCAGUGGGGAAUAUUGCACAAUGGGCGCAAGCCUGAUGCAGCAACGCCGCGUGAGGGAAGACGGUUUUCGGAUUGUAAACCUCUGUCUUUGGUGACGAAGAAGUGACGGUAGCCAAGGAGGAAGCCACGGCUAACUACGUGCCAGCAGCCGCGGUAAUACGUAGGUGGCAAGCGUUGUCCGGAUUUACUGGGUGUAAAGGGUGCGCAGGCGGGACUGCAAGUUGGAUGUGAAAUACCGAGGCUUAACCUCGGGGCUGCAUCCAAAACUGUGGUUCUUGAGUGGAGCAGAGGUAAGCGGAAUUCCGAGUGUAGCGGUGAAAUGCGUAGAUAUUCGGAGGAACACCAGUGGCGAAGGCGGCUUACUGGGCUCUAACUGACGCUGAGGCACGAAAGUGUGGGUAGCAAACAGGAUUAGAUACCCUGGUA